This 1208-nucleotide long non-coding RNA is filed under the name Vulpes vulpes (red fox). RNAcentral describes it as "lncRNA (ENSVVUG00000003291.1)". Lineage: Eukaryota; Metazoa; Chordata; Mammalia; Carnivora; Canidae. The record is from RNAcentral.
GGGGGCGUGGGGGGAGGGGACGGCGGUGAAGGGGCGCCGCCGCAGGGCGCAGGUGCCGUGUCCAUGACAACCGCGUUCCCCUCCGCGCGGGCACCCGGACCUGAGUGGCCGCAAGCCGCGAGCAGCGGAUUCUGAGACUCGAUAAAGUGCACAUGAGUCAACUGUGUACACUUAAAACUUCCUUAGCCGACAACAACGAUGUUUCAGGACCACGGACAGUGACACCGCAUGUUCCACUCACGGAGCUUUUUCCUUAGGCUCAGCCUAUAGAACAGGAGACAGACAUCACCGAGGAUACAGGAUGUGCUUCAAGAGGUAAAUGCUGAACACUAAAUGAGCUGUACCAAAAGAUAUGAACAGAAUGGAAAAAGGAAAGCGUGCCAUGAACUGGUGUAGGAAGGAAGAAGUAGGCCCUCCAGCUAGACUUUGAAGAAAGAAUAGGUAACAUUUAGGGAGACAUCACAGGACCCUAAAGUGGUGAGAGGAGGGUAAGUUAGCCAGGGAGGUAUUCCAAUAAAAAUAGGGAUACUUCAUUGUACCACUGCACAGUACUGUCCUGAGGGCAAAGUAUACUUCUCAUUUUAAUUAGUCUAAAGUAGUUCCGGUUAAAUAAGAUAGAACACUGUCUCGAGAACUGACACUUUUUUGUUUUUUACUGUGAUUUUUCAUUCUCUUUUCAGGCUAGAGGCGAUAAAUGUAAAAAAUGCAGGCCAAAGGAUUAUCAGACAAGUUCAUCUCUUUAACAUUGAGAGGAUUCAUUUAUAGAUUUAUGGAGAAUCAGACUCAGUGUGUUUCUUCUCUCAUAAUCAUGGGACUAGUCAACUACAAUUAUGAAUCACCCAGACUAAGUUAUGCCGAGGUAAAAGAUAAUCACCAGAUCUCAGAGGGUUAUGUACUACCUCUGUUUUACAUUACUCUCCUUCUGAGACCCUAGCUACCUGCAAGGCCACUACCUGGAAUCUAAUUCAUUAUCAUUACGAGGGACAGAAAACAAUGAAUUGGUCUCUCCCAGGAAUAAUGUGUAUAUUGGAUCCUGCUAGUCACAUAGCUCACAUAACCACAAGGUGCUUUGAAGUUCAAAACUACCACAUGCUUGGGAGACAAGGAACCUGAAAUACGUGGUAAACAGUUCUAAUAACCACAGUGAAAAAAAAAAAUGUUAGGGCAGUAUUUCCUGACUGACUUCUCUCUACCAGUACUGAUUUCCA